CCUACGGGGGGCUGCAGUAGGGAAUAUUGGACAAUGGGGGCAACCCUGAUCCAGCCAUGCCGCGUGAGUGAAGAAGGCCCUCGGGUUGUAAAGCUCUUUUGUUGGGGAAGAAAAGCAGUUGGUUAAUACCCGAUUGUUCUGACGGUACCCAAAGAAUAAGCACCGGCUAACUUCGUGCCAGCAGCCGCGGUAAUACGAAGGGUGCAAGCGUUACUCGGAAUUACUGGGCGUAAAGCGUGCGUAGGUGGUUGUUUAAGUCUGAUGUGAAAGCCCUGGGCUCAACCUGGGAAUGGCAUUGGAUACUGGAUAGCUAGAGUGCGGUAGAGGGUAGUGGAAUUCCCGGUGUAGCAGUGAAAUGCGUAGAGAUCGGGAGGAACAUCCGUGGCGAAGGCGACUACCUGGGCCAGCACUGACACUGAGGCACGAAAGCGUGGGGAGCAAACAGGAUUAGAUACCCCAGUAGUC
This 465-nucleotide ribosomal RNA is filed under the name uncultured Thermomonas sp. RNAcentral's name for it is "bacterial SSU rRNA". It matches the Rfam family "Bacterial small subunit ribosomal RNA", at positions 338 to 795 of the family's 1533-position model. Lineage: Bacteria; Pseudomonadati; Pseudomonadota; Gammaproteobacteria; Lysobacterales; Lysobacteraceae. The record is from RNAcentral.